GGGGAAACUGAGACAGCUGAGGUAGAAGAAGAGGCAAAGGCAGAAGCUGGGCAGGAGAGGAGAGGCUUCAGGCCCGUCAAGGGUCUGCUUUGACUCUGCUCCAUGUCAUCAUUCUGAGAACCAGAGGGAAAGGGCAGUCCCUGCCUGGAACACGCUGAGUCCACAGCAGCAGAAAGACCCACUGCAGAACCUCACAAUGGCUUUCAUUGCUCACAUGCCCAGAUGUGAUGGUGAUGAGGUGGGAAAUGUAAUCGGCAGAGGAGCAGUUGAGAAGGGGGGCAACGAGUAUUCACAAGUAAGAAUACAGUCUGGUAUAGGAUUUUACUUCAAUGUGUAUUAGAACAAGGUAUAAGUGUGUAUGUGUAGGUAUGGAGAGGGAGAGAGAAUGAUAGAACAAGUGGGGCAAAAUGGAUUCAGUUGGCAGGUCUGGGUGAAGAGGUGUAUGGACAUUCUUUGCAAUCUUUCUGUAAAGUUUAGAAUAAUGUGAAAAUAAAAAGUUCCAAGUACA
Molecule: long non-coding RNA, 508 nt
Organism: Carlito syrichta (Philippine tarsier)
Lineage: Eukaryota; Metazoa; Chordata; Mammalia; Primates; Tarsiidae
Exons: 2
Source: RefSeq, a predicted model, not a curated record